CCCGCAACGAGCGCAACCCCCGCCGUUAGUUGCCAGCGGUUCGGCCGGGCACUCUAACGGGACUGCCCGCGAAAGCGGGAGGAAGGAGGGGACGACGUCUGGUCAGCAUGGCCCUUACGGCCUGGGCGACACACGUGCUACAAUGCCCACUACAAAGCGAUGCCACCCGGCAACGGGGAGCUAAUCGCAAAGAGGUGGGCCCAGUUCGGAUUGGGGUCUGCAACCCGACCCCAUGAAGCCGGAAUCGCUAGUAAUCGCGGAUCAGCAUGCCGCGGUGAAUACGUUCCCGGGCCUU
Molecule: ribosomal RNA, 295 nt
Filed under: uncultured Thermus sp.
Lineage: Bacteria; Thermotogati; Deinococcota; Deinococci; Thermales; Thermaceae
Description: partial 16S ribosomal RNA
Rfam family: Bacterial small subunit ribosomal RNA
Source: RNAcentral